RNAcentral lists this ribosomal RNA (1121 nucleotides) under uncultured bacterium. RNAcentral describes it as "bacterial SSU rRNA". It matches the Rfam family "Bacterial small subunit ribosomal RNA", at positions 235 to 1348 of the family's 1533-position model. The record is from RNAcentral.
GUCGGAUUAGCUAGUUGGUGAGGUAAUGGCUCACCAAGGCAGCGAUCCGUAGCUGGUCUGAGAGGAUGAUCAGCCACAUCGGGACUGAGACACGGCCCGAACUCCUACGGGAGGCAGCAGUGGGGAAUAUUGGACAAUGGGGGCAACCCUGAUCCAGCCAUGCCGCGUGUGUGAAGAAGGCCCUCGGGUUGUAAAGCACUUUCAGCGAGGAAGAACGCCUAGUGGUUAAUACCCAUUAGGAAAGACAUCACUCGCAGAAGAAGCACCGGCUAACUCCGUGCCAGCAGCCGCGGUAAUACGGAGGGUGCAAGCGUUAAUCGGAAUUACUGGGCGUAAAGCGCGCGUAGGUGGCUUGAUAAGCCGGUUGUGAAAGCCCCGGGCUCAACCUGGGAACGGCAUCCGGAACUGUCAGGCUAGAGUGCAGGAGAGGAAGGUAGAAUUCCCGGUGUAGCGGUGAAAUGCGUAGAGAUCGGGAGGAAUACCAGUGGCGAAGGCGGCCUUCUGGACUGACACUGACACUGAGGUGCGAAAGCGUGGGUAGCAAACAGGAUUAGAUACCCUGGUAGUCCACGCCGUAAACGAUGUCGACCAGCCGUUGGGUGCCUAGCGCACUUUGUGGCGAAGUUAACGCGAUAAGUCGACCGCCUGGGGAGUACGGCCGCAAGGUUAAAACUCAAAUGAAUUGACGGGGGCCCGCACAAGCGGUGGAGCAUGUGGUUUAAUUCGAUGCAACGCGAAGAACCUUACCUACCCUUGACAUCGACAGAAGCCGAGAGAGAUCUUGGUGUGCCUUCGGGAACUGUCAGACAGGUGCUGCAUGGCUGUCGUCAGCUCGUGUUGUGAAAUGUUGGGUUAAGUCCCGUAACGAGCGCAACCCUUGUCCUUAUUUGCCAGCGCGUAAUGGCGGGAACUCUAAGGAGACCGCCGGUGACAAACCGGAGGAAGGUGGGGACGACGUCAAGUCAUCAUGGCCCUUACGGGUAGGGCUACACACGUGCUGCAAUGGCCGGUACAAAGGGCAGCGAGCUCGCGAGAGUCAGCGAAUCCCUUAAAGCCGGUCUCAGUCCGGAUCGGAGUCUGCAACUCGACUCCGUGAAGUCGGAAUCGCUAGUAAUCGUGAA